CAGAUCGGGUGUUGAUGUGGG
RNAcentral lists this unclassified non-coding RNA (21 nucleotides) under Mus musculus (house mouse). RNAcentral's name for it is "oocyte_clustered_small_RNA14261". The record is from RNAcentral. Lineage: Eukaryota; Metazoa; Chordata; Mammalia; Rodentia; Muridae.